GGCGCCCGGGCCGCCGCGGAGGUCGGGACCGCGAGCCCCCCGCGUGGCGCCCCGCCCUGGCCGCCGACCGCUGCUCGCGCGCCCUCCACGCCCAACGGCAGCCUCCCGGGCCCCGCGGGUCCCCGCCCCCGGGUCCGCGUCCUGACUCGGCCACGCGCCGCCCCGGGCCCGCCCUCAGCGCCCCCGCGCCCCACGGCAGCCUCCGGGUUAGCCCCUUGCUGCGCGCCCGGGAAGCCGCCGCGGCCCGCGUGGGUGCGGGGCCCUCUGCUGCUGCGCCCCGCAGGCCCUCCCCUCCCUACAGCCCGUUGUAAGGAGCUCCCCUUUCUCUGUUUUAUUUGGAAGCUGAACAGGGUCAUUGACUCUUCCGGGGAGCCCAGAGAGCACAGCUGCAAGUCCCACUCUCCGGACUGGCCCGAAGGUGACCACUGAAAGAGAAGAAGAGUGAGAUUCCCACACAAGUGGAGGAAAACAAAUGAAACGGGGGAGGGCUUCAAGAGAAAUAUGAAGAAAGAAAAACCAGAAAGUAUAAAAUAAACUGAUUUUACAAAUACUGCUACCAAUACUGCAAAUAAAUUGAGAUGAAAGUUAAUGGACAAAGAUUGUUGGAUUGUGUUCAUUUAUUCAAAUGAUCUUUAAAAUUUACUUAAGAGAGAGCAACAGCACACAGUAGGGGGGGACGUUGUGCAGAGGGAGAGGGACAAGCAGACUCCUCACUGAGCAGGGAGCCUGCCUGGUGGCUAGAUCCCAGGACCCCAGAAUCAUGACCUGAGCCAAAGGCAAAUGGUUAACUGACUGAGCCACCCAGGCACCCCUGUUGGACUGGAUUUAAAACAAUAAGAACCACUUAUACUGCCUCUAGAGACACACUGAAAAUAUAAAAUUGACACCCAUACAGAGGGGUGUGCAAGACAAACCAAAAGAAAGCUGAAGCAGCCACAUUAAUAACAGGCUGUGGGCAGAGGUAUAAAGAAGAACACUAAAAAAAAAAAAAAGAAAGAAAGAAAGAAGAAAGAAAGAAAGAAAGAAAGAAAGAAAGAAAGAAGAGAAAGAAAGAAGAAAGAAAGAAAGAAAGAAAGAAAGAAAGAAAGAAAGAAAGAAAGAAAAAGAAAAGAAAAGAAAAGAAAAACACUGCUCAAUUUAGAGGGGAGAGCUAGACUUUCCUCUACUAUAGGAAGAAACUACAGGAAGAGUUCUAAACUCAUAUGCAAUUAAUAAUUGCUUUAAAAUAAAGUAGAAAUGACAAAACUAAAAUGAGAGAAACUGACAAAUGCUUAGUCUGAGUGAUGUCUCUCAGGGAGCUAUUUCAUGGGAAUCAGUGAGCUAGAGGGUCUUGAGGACAGAGGGUGCCGGGGCAGAAGAAAGACUAGAGUAUCAGAGUAUCAGUUGCUAGGAGGAGUACCUGGGAAGAGAAAGUGUGAGACAUGUUACUGCUUAUUACCCUGAUAAGUACCAGUAAACUUUAUCUUGAUUUAACACUUCAUUUUUUUAAAGAUUUAUUUAUUCAUAAGAGACACAGAGAGGCAGAGACACAGACAGAGGGAGAAGCAGGCUCCAUGCAGGGAGCCCGAUGUGGGAUUUGAUCCGGAGACCCCAGGAUCACACCCUGGGCCAAAGGCAGGUGUUCAGCCGCUGAGCCACCCAGGGAUCCUGAUUUAACACUUCAAAGUAUUAUUAUUUUUUUAACACUUCAAAUUAGAAUAAGGGUUUGAACAAGGUCUACAUGUUGCAUUUAGUGGAAAUGUAUCUUAAGUCUGUUAAUCCAUAACAAAACUAAAGGAACUCUGUUCCUUCUUUUUAAAAAAUCCCUUCCCAUUUAUUUUUUGGGGGAAUAAGUCAUUUACCCCAUAGAAGAUUUGAAUAACUACAUCCCUACUAUAUCUUUUAAUAUGUUCCUCUUUCCCCUGUAUUUUGUAUAUGCUGGUAGUUACAUUCAGAAGCUUGAUUAGAUCAGUUUGUUUCUCAUCAGGAAAGCUCUGUAGGUUGCAUUGUGCAAGAUUCUAUGGCUUCAUACCAGGAGGCACUUAAUACCCUCCUGGCAGAGUUAGGGUCACUCAUGGGUUCAGAGGGUCAGCUGAAUCUUCCAUUAUUUUCAUCAGUCUUCCACCUAUAGGCUUUUACUGCCAUUAUGACAUUGCCAACUCUUUCUUCUGCAUUUACUAGAUGGAAUUCUACACAUAACUUUCCUUCACCAAUUUGUCCUGAAAUGCAGUUCAUAGGGGAGAGUCAGGAUGUGAUUCUUCAACCAGCAAUUUUUUCAACAGUGGAUGACUGUAGUAGCAACUUUCAAAUGGCUAAUGGAAUGGAU
Molecule: long non-coding RNA, 2305 nt
Filed under: Canis lupus familiaris (dog)
Lineage: Eukaryota; Metazoa; Chordata; Mammalia; Carnivora; Canidae
Description: lncRNA (ENSCAFG00000052957.1)
Source: RNAcentral